UACGUAGGCAGCAAGCGUUGUUCGGAGUUACUGGGCGUAAAGGGUGCGUAGGCGGCUUGGUAAGUGUGGUGUGAAAUCUCCCGGCUCAACUGGGAGGGUGCGCUACAAACUGCCGGGCUAGAGUCCGGAAGAGGUAAGUGGAACUCCUAGUGUAGAGGUGGAAUUCGUAGAUAUUAGGAAGAACACCAGUGGCGAAGGCGGCUUACUGGUCCGGAACUAGACGCUGAGGCGCGAAAGCGUGGGGAGCAAACAGG
This 254-nucleotide ribosomal RNA is filed under the name uncultured bacterium. RNAcentral's name for it is "partial 16S ribosomal RNA". It matches the Rfam family "Bacterial small subunit ribosomal RNA", at positions 524 to 776 of the family's 1533-position model. The record is from RNAcentral.